AGUGAGAAAUCGAUGACAGUAGGGAUGUUGGCUUAGAAGCAGCCAUCCUUUAAAGAAAGCGUAACAGCUCACUGGUCAAGCGAGCCUGCACCGAAAAUAUAACGGGGCUCAAGUCAUGCGCCGAAGCUAUGGGAUUUAUAUUUAUAUAAAUCGGUAGGGGAGCGUUCCCUGUGCGGCGAAGCUGAAUCGAGAGGGUCAGUGGAGCGCAGGGAAGUGAGGAUGUUGGCAUAAGUAACGAAAAUGCGAGCGAGAAACUCGCACGCCGAAAGCCCAAGGUUUCCCGGGCCAUGUUAUUCAGCCCGGGGUUAGUCGGCACCUAAGACGAGGCCGAAAGGCGUAGUCGAUGGCAAACCGGUUCAUAUUCCGGUACUUGCACGUGCGCGUGAUGGAGGGACGCAGGAGGAUAGACCGUCCGGGUGAUGGAUAUCCCGGUUCAAGGCAUUAGGCGGAAGUUCCAGGCAAAUCCGGGACUUCUAUAACGCCGAGAGCUGAUGACGAGAGGCUUUGCUUCGCAAAGCGGUCGAUUCCACACUGCCAAGAAAAGCUUCUAAGCAUAGCACGGGCGAACCGUACCCCAAACCGACACAGGUGGGCGGGUAGAGAAUACCAAGGCGCUUGAGGGAAAUCAUGUUAAGGAACUCUGCAAAAUAACUCCG
This 656-nucleotide ribosomal RNA is filed under the name Planctomycetota bacterium. RNAcentral's name for it is "partial 23S ribosomal RNA". It matches the Rfam family "Bacterial large subunit ribosomal RNA", at positions 1074 to 1730 of the family's 2925-position model. The record is from RNAcentral. Lineage: Bacteria; Pseudomonadati; Planctomycetota.